AAAACAGGUAAAUAAAAUACAUUUUCCCCUAUGUAUAUUUAUAUAGUCUUCACUGAGUUUGGUAUUUUGGUAAAUUUAGAAUACAUUUCAUAAUAACAAUUCCAUGGACAAAAACAGUAAAAAUUAUUCAUGCCAUAUUGAUCUCUAAACAUUCUAAGCCGUUGCACAAACAUAAAUACGUGUUUUUGCAGGUUAUUUUGAAACCGAAACCAGACAUGCAAGCUAUAGAAGAAUAUUAUUAGUCAUAUCCAAUUUUACAGAAUUCCCUACAUCACAAUGCUCUCAAAAGCAAACUAUGCAA
This 301-nucleotide unclassified non-coding RNA is filed under the name Hevea brasiliensis (rubber tree). Lineage: Eukaryota; Viridiplantae; Streptophyta; Magnoliopsida; Malpighiales; Euphorbiaceae. The record is from RNAcentral.